This 363-nucleotide ribosomal RNA is filed under the name Cryptocercus relictus (relict cockroach). RNAcentral's name for it is "partial 16S ribosomal RNA". Lineage: Eukaryota; Metazoa; Arthropoda; Insecta; Blattodea; Cryptocercidae. The record is from RNAcentral.
GGUAAUUUAGUCUUAUAAUCAACAUAAAUGGAUCAAAUACAUAUAAAUAAAUAUAAAAUAUAAAAAGAGUUAAUUAAAUCUUUCCAUCACCCCAACAAAAUAAAUUUUUACAUUAGAAAUUCUCAUACAAAAAAAAAUAAAAAUAUAUAAAACUCUAUAGGGUCUUCUCGUCCCAAAAAAACAUUUAGGCAUUUUAACCUAAAAUUUAAGUUCAAAAAAAAAAUAAAGACAGUUAACACCUCGUCAAACCAUUCAUUCCAGCCUACAAUUAAAAGACUAAUGAUUAUGCUACCUUUGCACGGUCAAAAUACCGCGGCCCUUCAAUACAGUGGGCAGGCCAUACAUCAAAAUAUACAAGAAGAG